Molecule: ribosomal RNA, 181 nt
Filed under: uncultured Methanolinea sp.
Lineage: Archaea; Methanobacteriati; Methanobacteriota; Methanomicrobia; Methanomicrobiales; Methanoregulaceae
Description: partial 16S ribosomal RNA
Rfam family: Archaeal small subunit ribosomal RNA
Source: RNAcentral
UUAUCCGGGCUACACGCGGGCUACAAUGGUCAGGACAAUGGGUAUCGACACCGAGAGGUGGAGGCAAAUCUCCUAAACCUGUCCUUAGUUCGGAUUGUGGGCUGCAACUCGCCCACAUGAAGCUGGAAUCCGUAGUAAUCGCGUUUCAAAAUAGCGCGGUGAAUAUGUCCCUCGGCUCCUU